CUCCCCGCGACAAGCAGGAUCUCCUCAGAGCCAGGGGGGCAGCAGCUGCUCAGCACAGCGCCCGAGCCCAUUCCCAGUCCCUCUGCUGGGGAGGAAACUCCGGUCUGUCAGCCCAACAGAGGGAAAGGGGGGAGAGCAGCGAGAGGAGAAAAAAAAAGCAGCUGGAAAGGAAAAGAAACGCCUGGUAGUUGUGCGGAGAGUCCCCCUGGAAAAGCAGCCUGCAGGCUUCACCCAGCACAGACAAUCUGCUUCAUCUUGAUUCGUCAUCAUUCCAGGAUACUGGUGUCUUUGGGGCUCUCUGUUAACAUUGAUAUGGUACAGAAGAUUUAAAAUCAGCUGAUGUUCACAAGGAAUAGAGUCACGUGAUGUAUGAAGGCAAACACAUACACUUCUCUGAGGUUGACAAUAAGCCCUUGUGCUCGUAUAGCCCCAAACUGUGCAAGCAGAGGCGACUUAACGGCUACGCCUUCUGUAUCAGACACGUUCUGGAGGACAAGACUGCCCCCUUCAAGCAAUGUGAAUAUGUGGCCAAGUACAACAGCCAACGCUGCACCAACCCCAUCCCCAAAUCUGAGGACCGUAGGUACUGCAACAGCCACCUGCAGGUACUUGGCUUCAUACCGAAAAAGGAGAGGAAGAAGAAGAAUGAUCCCAUAGAGGAGGUAAAGGUCAGGCAUCAGAUGGAUGCUAUGGCCUUCAGUCUGACAGUGCCCACCCUGGCCUUGAAGAUGCCCAAUGGACUGGAUGGGAUGUCCCUCUCCCCACCAGGGGCUAGGCUUCCUCUCCACUACCUGGAGGCAGAAUUAGAAGACCCCUUUGCUUUCAAUGAGGAGGAUGAUGACCUAAAGAAAGGGGCCACAGUGAGGAAAAAGUUGCAGAGCAAGUUGGCUCAAAACCGGCAGCGCCAGAGAGAGACAGAGAUUUUAAAAGUUCGCCAAGAGCACUUUAGCCCCCUUCCUGCACCUUUGCAGCAGCAGCCUCUGCAGCAGCAGCAGCACUCCCAUCUGCCACCUUCAUCAGCUUCGUUAAAGCCGACAGGGCUACCGCAGGGCGUCGUCUGCAAGUCACCUCAACCUCCGAACACCAGCCUACCAAUGCAGGGAGUGGCACCCACCACACACACUAUAGCACAAGCCAGGCAGUUGUCUAACAAGAGACCUCUGCCUCUCCUGCCACCCGCUAGGGCUCCUGUCACGGACCCUCCAAGGACUGAUCGGGUCCUAAUGAAAGCCACAGCCUUCUCUCCGCACUUGUCCUGCAUGAGCCGGCUACAGAGACUGGUGAAACUGUGCACUCGAAAACAGCAGCUGGACACUGAUCUGUUUCCCCAUUUAGGGCUGGACUGGUCUGAAGACAGUGGAGAAGAGUUGGAGGAUUCAGAGCAAACCUCCCCUUACCAGGUUGCGUGGUCUAUCCGAGAGACCCUCGGCUAUGAAAGACACGAGUCUGACGAUGACAAUGCAGAUGACAGGAGUUCCAGGGUGACCAGACUUUGCACUUACUUUCAGCAGAAAUACAAGCACCUCUGCCGCCUGGAGCGGGCAGAAUCUCGUCAGAAGAAAUGCCGGCACACGCUCCGGAAAGCUUUGCUGCAGGCGGCCAGCAGAGAGCCGGAACGUGCUGGGCAACUGAUACAAGAGCUCCGAAGAGCUACGUGUGGUCGUGCCAGCGCAAGCCAAGCCAAGCAGAGAGAUGUGGAACCAACAACAUGUAGUGGGACUUCGAAGGGUGAACAGUGCACUAACAAGGCCCUUCCAUUCACCAGGCAUUGUUUUCAGCAUAUCUUAUUGAACCGUUCUCAGCAGCUCUUCUCAAGUUGCACGGCCAAGUUUGCAGAUGGUCAGCAGUGCUCUGUGCCAGUUUUUGACAUCACACAUCAGACACCUCUGUGCGAAGAACAUGCCAAAAAAAUGGACAAUUUCUUGAGAGGGGACAGCUCCCGUAAAGUUCAGCACCAGCAGCAGAGGAAACCCAGGAAAAAAACAAAGCCGCCUGCACUUACCAAAAAACACAAGAAGAAGAGAAGGCGAGGCCCGCGCCGGCCCCAGAAACCCAUUCCUCCUGCAGUGCCCCAAGGGAACCUCACCAUGCCUGCCAGUGUCUCACUGCCAGUAGAGAUGUCCCACAUACGGAGCCCUUCCACACCAGAGUUGAGUGCCGAUGAGCUGCCUGAUGAUAUCGCCAAUGAAAUCACAGACAUUCCACAUGACUUGGAAUUGAAUCAGGAGGACUUCUCUGAUGUCCUGCCGCGACUGCCUGAUGACUUGCAGGAUUUUGAUUUCUUUGAAGGUAAAAAUGGAGAUCUCCUUCCUACUACAGAAGAGGCUGAAGAACUGGAACGGGCCCUACAGGCUGUAACUUCUCUUGAGUGCCUGAGUACCAUUGGCGUACUUACACAGACAGAUGGUGUGCCGGUUCAGGAGCUGUCAGAUAGAGGGAUAGGGGUGUUCUCUACAGGUGCUGGAGCUCCAGGAAUGCAGUCCUUGAGUCGAGAGGUUAACACGGAUCUGGGGGAGCUGUUGAAUGGGCGUAUAGUACAUGAUAAUUUCUCCGGUCUGGAGCUGGAUGAGAACUUGCUCCGUUCUGCUACCUUGUCCAACCCACCUACGCCCCUGGCAGGGCAGAUCCAGGGGCAAUUCUCAGCCCCAGCCAACGUCGGCCUUACUUCUGCCACUCUGAUAAGCCAGAGUGGCCUUGGGGAGAGAGCCUUCCCAGGACAGUUUCAUGGACUUCAUGAUGGCAGCCAUGCCUCCCAGAGGCCCCACCCUGCCCAGCUGCUGAGCAAGGCAGAUGACCUGAUCACCUCACGACAGCAAUACAGCAGUGACCAUUCACACUCCUCACCCCAUGGAAGCCAUUACGAUAGUGAGCAUGUGCCGUCUCCCUACAGUGACCAUAUCACAUCCCCUCACACCACAUCCUUUUCUGGUGAUAACUUGGCAGCUACCUUCUCAGCAGAGAUGCCCAUGAUGGCACAGCACUUGCUCCCAACUCAGCUGGAUGUGCCACUUAGUGGGGUGGUCAACCCCAGAACUCACUGGGGAAAUCUUCCUGUCAAUCUUGGGGACCCCUCUCCGUUUAGCAACCUUCUCGGUGCAGAUGGACACCUCCUGUCCACCUCCCUGUCCACACCACCUACCACCUCGCACUCAGAGACCACACAGCCUGCCUUCGCCACUGUGACCCCCAACAGCUCCAGUGUGCUUCCGGGGUUACCGCAGACCAGUUUUAGUGGCAUGGGUCCUGCCUCUGCUGAACUGAUGGCCUCCACCUCCCCUAAACAACAGCUCCCUCAGUUCAGCGCAGCCUUUGGGCACCAGCUGAGCUCCCACAGUGGCAUCCCCAAGGACCUGCAGCCCAGCCACAGCUCCAUAGCUCCUCCCACGGGCUUCGCAGUGACCGGUGCCACCGCUACCAGUACCAAUAACGCAUCCGCACCCUUCACCACCUCCAACUGAGCUUGUCUGCCUGGCUCUGUGCAGGUAGAUGGGGGACCUAUGUUUUCUAUCUUUCCUUUUUUCCUUUUUCUUCUUUUUUUCCUGUCCUCCUCUCCCCCUCCCCCCCCCCCUUUUUUUAAGAGGGGGUUGAGAAGAAAACCCCUGCUUCAGUACUGACCAGGGUUAGCCCUCUGUGAACCUUGCUAUAGCGUUCACAUGUGCUUGUUAUGCACCGGUGCUCAUUUAUUGCAGGCAGGUUCACCGUUCCCCAGUGAUUCCUUAAGGAUACAGCACAGUUACUGGAUGUAAUUGAUCUUAGCAGUAAGACCUAAAAAUGGGAAGAUACCUCAGAUUACUGAUGCAUGUUACUGUUUCCUAGGGUUCGGAUCAGUGCUUGCCAUCCCAUUAGCAUCUGGUAGGAAGUUUUCCAGUGGGCAGAAGUCUCCUGAUUUUUUUUUUUAACUCUUUUCCAAAGGUAGCAUCUGGCAUGGAAAACUUGGCUGCACACAUUGAUUUGAGAAUGGUGCAUUGAAGUCCUAAAUCAAGACUAUGGUUCAAAGAUGAAUUUUGACAGUUUCUUAAAACAGUCUCUUGACCUCCUAUACUUCUCCAAUGUAAGUAAUGCCAACCAGUAAUUCUUCUGUGGCUUGGUCCUGAGCGAAUCUGACUGUAAAACGAAAAGGAGGAGAGAUUGCUGCAAUUCAUAACAUACAUUUUGGAUGCUAGAGCGACAGUGCAAUAGAUCAAAGUGUUUCUCAGCUCAGUGAGUAAGAUGAUGUUUCAAAGCACGCUGAUACGUCGUGACCUAGCUGCUGAGGGUACAACACUGAUCCUGGGAGUGCACGCAUUAGCAGUGAAUGUUGCAGGCGUUCUGAGUGGGAAUUUACCCACCUUCUCACAGGUUCCUCUCGUUUUGAGAAGUACAUCAGCAGAAAAUCACCUAGAAAGCUUUAAAAUAUUUCCCUUACUUAAAUUCUUUUUUUAAAUACCUGCGUGAAGAUGCCCAACUAAAAGUAAGGGUGACUGGUGGAAAGAUGUAAACUUAUAUUUAAUGAAUUUAAACCUGGACUUUUGGAGAGGUCUGCUCUUGAGACACCUUAACUCUAUCGGAUUGGUUUUGAUUUGUUUUUUGAUUCGGUCUUUAAAAUUAGACAAAAACACUGUUGCUGAGAAAGAAGAGUUUGUGAGAGAAGGAAGAACUGACAAAAGAAAAGCAAAUGUGUCUUGGAACCAUUUUCUCACUCAUGUCUUCAGCCGUUUAGGCAAAAGUAGUGACUGGGCUUGGGGAGAUUCUUUUCCCUUCCCUUGCCCCGUGGGUGCUGGGUUCUGUGCUUUCCCCUGUUUUGCUCUGCUUUUGCAUUCUCAUUUUCUGGCUCUUGUGGAAUAAGGCAAGAUGGUGGAAGCAUGACGGAAGAAAAUGGGCUUGCCUACAGAUUAGUAACAGUAGUUGGAGAAGGCUUUCUUUUUCUGGCUCCUUGAAGUGUUGGUGUUACGUUUAGCCUUCCCUGGCUCGUAGAAUCCAGUUGAGAAGUGAACAAGAUGAAAUCUAGGCUUUUGACAUUACAACUGUAUAUACACAGUGUAGAAAAAUGCAUUAUUCGUACUCGUCCUCCUUGCCAGCCCCCCAAACACACGCACAGUGAGACGGCGACAGAGUACGCGUGUAUGAGCUGCACGCACGUGCUGAACUUGGUCCAGCAGUGCUAAUGUUUUACCCACUUUGUGUCUUCAUAAGCUGGUGGCCACUGAAGCGGGCUCUGGGUAGGUAAUGUUCUCAGAUAUCCUCUGGAAAACUUUAACUUUGGUGCAGAUUGCGCUAAUGUAGCUAACUGCUAUGCCAUUUGCUUCUACUUUGGAGUGGACUGAUUUACCCUGAAAUGACUCUCUAACCUGCGUCUUAAACAGCAUAGGUGGUUCCAGUGAAAACAGCUUCGUUCUGAAGGGAUGGACAGUUGGAUUCUCAUGCAAAAUAUCUACAUCCUGCUAGAAGGGGUUGAACCAGUUUCUCUGAACAGUGAUUACUUUCACUGUACAGUUUUGGGUAUGUCUCAGGGAUUCCUUGUGGAAAUAAGGGCAGUUAACAAAAAAAAAAAAAAAAGUAAAUAGUUUUAAAAGUAAAUAAUAAUUUAAGGUAGAGCGUCAUCUAAGUGAGAGCGCAAGAAAGAGAAAUCUUUGUUCAGUUUUAUAGUCCACAGUGUCUGGCUUAGGGACUCUUUCUCUUCUCGGGGCUCUCGUCUCAAGUUCAACAUACAGAAUCUUUUUUCAUCACGCUCAGCUUUAAACUUUUAUUUAAAGAUACCCUUCCCCAAUGAGCUUUCAGAAUACUUAUUGUAGAUUUAAAGAGAAAUGGUAUAUUAAUUUAUGCUAUUAACAUCACCUCAUAAAUUAUAAGUUUUAUACUAAAGCUGUAUUGAGUGUAAUGAAUUAUGUUGCAUAUGUGUUUUUAAUAGCUAUAAAAUUAUAUACAAGCUUUUUUGGAAAAACAAACUAGUGAAGCACCUUUUUACACUGGAUCUUUGCCGUGUCAAGGUGUACAGCUAUUCUUUGCUACCUUGCAGAUAUCUAUAUCUAUAUCUCUAUAUAGAUAUAUAUAUAUAUAAAUAAAAUAAAAUGGUAUCCUGUAUCAACAAAGCAUAGAACUCUUUUUAACCCUUAUAUUGCUGUUCCUAUAACUCUUUUAAUUUUAUUUUGAGUGUUACAUUCUGCAAUAAUUUAUCUGUGGUUUGUACCUAUGAUUAGAAAUUUAGUUACAGGAUAAAUAGAUCAAAUUAAAAAUCCAACUACUGUAGCUGGAAGUUGUGAACCAAGUUUGUAAGACCUUUUCUUUUUAAAAUGUAUUUAUUUCCAGUUAGCUCUGUGAGUUGGAAUUUGAAAAGUCAGAACAUUAGGAAUCUACAGUGUCUUAUUCAGGAAUUUUUCCCCUCCUUUCCUCACAAAGGAAUUCCCACUGUGACUUAUAAAUAGAAUUAGACUGCUUGUGUGCAUGUAUGUAUUAUAUAUACACACAAAAAAUAUGCAUUGGGGGGGAUGUAUGUGCGAUACGAAUGUGUAUAUUGUAUGUAGGUCAUAGCUUUGUAAAGAGAAAAGUAGUUGAGAGGUGAUGGAAUGUAUUGUAGAAAUGUGAUUAUUUAGUAGGGGGUUAUUAUGUCCUCACUGUUGUAUAAAUAACUCAAACUCUCUACUACAUAAUCUGCUGUUAUAAGGCUAACUCUGAUAUCAUGUCAAUUUUACUUUUUUUUUUUUUCAAAUGAGUUGCAUUGAGCCCUGUUUAAAAUGUCAUGAAAAUACCAAGCUCCCAAAGACAGCCUUUAAAAUAAAAUAAACAGGAGACCGGGGGAGAUGGGAGAAAUGAGUGUGUUUCUCAGGAGAAAUUGAAAUGGGAAGGUCUGUAUUUGGUGGAAUGGUGAGACAUGGGAAUUACUGUAUCUCUGCAAAUUAAUACCUGAAUCUCCUUUGGUCUGAUUUAGAAAAUGCUGAUAAUCAGUUGUAUUUGUGUUCUCAAAUUAGGCUGUAAGAGGCAUUGUUUAUGAACUGAUCUCCAUUCUGUAAAAGGAUAUUGUUUUCAGAGUAAUUCUUUUCUUUUCUGAGGAUUUUUAUGUGUGUAUUAAUUUUGCCCUCAAAUUGCUUUUGUCUGAUUACAGAACUAUAUAUUUUUUUUGAUCGAGGGAGUUAAAUUUGUGCUGUGAAAUUCUGAAUUGAAUUAUGGCCACUUAAUUUUUCUCAUAAUCAGAGAAGGAAGCUCUUUCUUUUUGGGAGUUCUCACUGGAAAUUGUGAGAAAUUGGAAACGUUCUUACAGAUUCGCUUACUCUUAUUAUUCAUCUGUCUCGACAUUUAGGCUGGAGAAAAUAAAAUUUUAAAUGUUACGUAUUCAUACCAUUAUCACUUUUAAUCAUGAUGAUCCUGGUGACUUUAAGAUCUGUUUAGAAAAACAGAGCUUCCAGUAUUGCACAGAUAUUUUAAUUUUUUGAAGGCUUUUUUUUAAGCAGUUGCAAAUCAAUUCUUUAUUUUUUAUUUUUUUUAAGUUUUACAUCCCUCUCCCUCUCAGUCUGUUGACACCCCCCAGACAUACCUCCACAUAAAUCCUCUCUUGCACAUACGCAUACAAGCGAAGGGCAGGGAGGUGGAAGUUGUCAGAGGCCUUUCCUUCUUAUUUGGUGGUAAUGGGAUUUAUCAGUGUAAUUCUUUAUGCCUUUAUGGGGAAGAAUAGACCCGUUUCUGUGUAUACCUGUACAGAGAGAUAUAUCUGUAUAUGAGAUGUUGGUAGCACUUUGCUGAAUGUGGAAUUGCCCUCAUGAUGUACAAUAAAUACGUAUGAAUGCAAUCAAUCUAAA
Rhea pennata is the source of this 7769-nucleotide RNA transcript. It is a transcript of the gene named INO80 complex subunit D, with no coding region annotated. The transcript is spliced from 13 exons. NCBI's taxonomy places the organism in Eukaryota, Metazoa, Chordata, Aves, Rheiformes, Rheidae. The record is from RefSeq and is a predicted model, not a curated record.